RNAcentral lists this ribosomal RNA (253 nucleotides) under uncultured bacterium. RNAcentral describes it as "partial 16S ribosomal RNA". It matches the Rfam family "Bacterial small subunit ribosomal RNA", at positions 524 to 776 of the family's 1533-position model. The record is from RNAcentral.
UACGGAGGAUCCAAGCGUUAUCCGGAUUCAUUGGGUUUAAAGGGUGCGUAGGCGGCCUGAUAAGUCAGCGGUGAAAUCUCUCGGCUUAACCGAGAAACUGCCGUUGAUACUGUCAGUCUUGAGUACAGAUGAUGUGGGCGGAAUAUGACAUGUAGUGGUGAAAUACUUAGAUAUGUCAUAGAACACCGAUUGCGAAGGCAGCUCACAAAACUGUCACUGACGCUGAGGCACGAAAGCGUGGGGAUCAAACAGG